This is a non-coding RNA of Acanthosepion pharaonis, 87 nucleotides long. NCBI's taxonomy places the organism in Eukaryota, Metazoa, Mollusca, Cephalopoda, Sepiida, Sepiidae. The record is from the annotation of a GenBank genome assembly.
GAUCCCAUACGGUCACUGCAGUUAAGCAACAGCGAGUCUGGUCAGUACCUAGAUGGGUAACCAUUUGGGAAUACCAGGUGCUGUAAG